Molecule: long non-coding RNA, 9301 nt
Filed under: Nicotiana benthamiana
Lineage: Eukaryota; Viridiplantae; Streptophyta; Magnoliopsida; Solanales; Solanaceae
Description: long non-coding RNA (NBEN_LNC009521)
Source: RNAcentral
CUUGCUCUAUUACUCUCAAUUUAGUUUAACUUCUGCGUAUAUGUAAUGCCUAUAAAAGAGAACAAUAACAAUUAUUUAAUGAGUUAGUAAUCAGAGUUUGAUUGAGACUCAAUUGCUUAUCCUUCAUCGAACUUGAGUCCUAAAGCAAUAAAAACUUCAAUCCUUAUCCUUGAUCUGGAUUAAUCUCUCUUCACAUGAGGAGAUUUCAUCUCUUCAUCCUUUAUGCAACCUUUUCGAUCAGUUCAGAAGAUAUUGCUGCUUGAUCCUUGAGACUUAUCUUCUUCACGUGCAUAAGUAGAUAUCCACCGUGUCUCACAUGAUGGACCUGAUCCAUGACUGAUUUCAUUUGUCAAUCUUCAAAACUUCAUCUGAACGUGGGCCAAAAAAUUUCCCCUUUUUGAUGAUGACAAACUCUGUGGAACUCAGCUGAAUUAUCAACACUGUAACUUAGAAAUUUUAACUUAUUAUUAAGGACCAGGUUUAAUCAGGUUAUAAAUAUCACUUUAUUUCAUAAUACAAAGUAAAGCACAAUAUCUUUUCACCCUUUGGCAUCAUCCAAAAGUUACAUAUAAUGUGAAUCCUAGAUUUAAUCAUUACUCAUGGCCACUUGGGCAACUGCAAGUGAAAGCAUGGUUCAGUUAAUCAAUAAUCAACUUGACAAAAAUUUACUAUUAUGAUCAGAAUCUUCAUAAAGCAAAAGAAAAGAAAAUUGUCAUUGAUUAGAAAAUGUUUCUAAUAACCAGACCACAAAAAAAAAGAAGAUAAAACAUCCAACCAUGAGCAACAAAAACAAAGAAAAGUCCUGAAUCUGGGUCACUAGGGGUUCUAGAUUAGUUCAAAGACAGGAACUGGAAGACCUAAGUCUUGGAGGAACUAGAGGGUUGGGAUUGGAGAAGAUUAAGAAUAGUUUGAAACAUCCCUUCACUGUUUUCCUUUGCUUUUGCCAGCUCAGCUUUCAGGGCAUUUCUCUCAUUUUCCAGUUCAACAACACGAGCCUGGAGCUUAGCAAUUUCAGCAUCUUUUGUUCCACUUUCUUGAACUAAGGCCCUAACUUGCUGUUCACAGGAAUCUUCAUGGAGGAACUAGAGGGUUGGGAUUAGAGAAGAUUAAGCAUAGUCUGAAGCAUCCCUUUACUAUUUUCCUUUUCUUUUGCUAACUCAGCUUUCUGGCCAUUUCUCUCAUUUUCUAGUUCAGCAACAUGAGCCUGGAGCCUAGCAAUUUCUGCAUCUUUUGUUCCAUAUUCUUGAACCAAGGCCCUAACCUUGCUGUUCACAGGAGUCUACAGAGAUGAACCAAGUUCAACUGGGCUACAUUGAGGAGAUAGUUACAAGCCUGCACAAGGUUUUGACACCAAAAUGCUCCUUGCUGGAAGCCAUCUCCCAUUUCUUCAAAAGAACAUUCAGCCUAUCUAGAACAGUUGUCAAUAUAAACCCAUAUGAAGUAGCAUGAGCCUUGGACCUAUUGAUGACUGUGUCCAGCGGCUUGACAAUGAAAGCAUUCUAGUUAAUCUACUUUACUCUCACAAGGCAUUCCAGAAGAACCAAGUCCAUGUAGUUAGCAUUAUGCUUUCUUUCCUGCCUGGGCAGCAAAUAUUUGUUCACAAAUUCAAAUAGCACCUUGUGCUCAGGCUUCAUCUUUCUCUUCUGCACAAACCUUGCCUCUGGCACAUCUUUAGUAGAUUAUGUAUCACAUAAGUUUCUGGUUAUUUGGAGAGCAAUAGGAAGAUCAUCUAAACAAGUCCACCUCUGCCUAGUAUAGUUAUCAUAACCCUCACUGGGUAUGUCAAGAAUCUUUCCCAAUUUAGGUGCAUCAAACUACACAUUUACUCAUAACCACGCUGGUGACUACCCCAUUUUUUACAGUGGCAUUGGCCAUGAAAUCAAUCAGCUCCUCCCUAAUCCAUUUGGAGAACCAUGUACUUCCACCCUUGUGCAUCUAGGGCAUCCACCAAUCUUAUCAGGCCUGGCUCCUCCAAGUCUUCCAACAGUCUGCCUUUGUAAAUCUUCCUUUUGCCAAAGAUGGAAAAUCUAUCAUGUAAUUUCUUAGACUCCUCCUCUUCUUCUUAUUCUCCACUCCAUUCUUCUUCUUCUUCUUCAGUAAUUUUUACUUGUUUCCCCUUCCCUGUAGACCUAGUUCUUUUGGCUAAUGAGGGUUCAGCAGAUACAGGUUCUGAAGACUUCUUUGAAGAAGUCUUGGAUCUUUUUGGUUUGGAAGUGGGAACCUCCACAGUUGUACGUCUUUCUUGAUGGAUCGGUUUCCUCUCCUCCUCCUCCUCCUCCUCCUCCUCUUCUGCAGCUUCAGAACUUUUCACAACCUUUUCUUUUCUCUUCUCGUUACCUCUUUCUUGAUGGAUCAGUUCCAUCUCCUCCUCCUCUUCCUCCUCCCCCUCCUCCUAUUCUAAAGCUUCUGAUCUUUCCACAAAUUUUGCUUUUCCCUUCUUCUUUUUCCUACUUUCUUCUAAAGCUUUUUGCAACUCCGCCUCACUCUAUUUGACCCUGCUCCUAGUAGCUCUUCCCUUAAGUAAUGAAGGGACAGUAGGCUUAGGAGAUGACACCUUGCUUUUUUUUGCUGGCUUGGAAGCAGUUGAGGUCUUUUGGGAAGAAGCCUUGCACUUCUUUGGAUCAUAGCUGACCCAACCUUCUUCAGGAUGUUAGCUUGGGUUUCCUCAACAGAUGAACCAAGUUCAUCUCGCUGUUCACUCGAAUGUACAAGACCUUCAGCAGCCUCCCCAUACUCACUUCCCCCUGACUUCUUGCCACUCUCCUCUAUCCCUCCACAAAUUGCAAGAACUUUGUCUUUCUUUUUCUUUCCCCUUUUACUAGACUCAGCCCCCUUUACAUCCUUCACAAAACCAAUCAACACAUACCUAUUAUCCACCUUUUAUACCACAUCGGAAUACAAGAUCUUUUACUAGACUCAUCCCCCCUUUACAUCCUUCAGAGAACCAACCAAUACAAACCUAUUAUUCACCUUUUCUACCAUAUCAGAGAAUACAAGACAAGUAUUUACCUCACCAGGAGUUUCUUGAUUUUUUUCAGUGUCAAAAGACCCAUGUUCUUCUCCUUCACUACCAGAAAUGAAUGCUUCAGACUCAGAGCUUGAGUCAGAUUCUUUAACAGGGCUCUUUUUUUCUGGCUAGCCUUCAUUUUUCAUUCAUAGUUUUUCUCAGAGAAUCAGAAUCUACUGUUUUUCUGGCCAACAUUUUCUGCUGGCGAAACCUAGGUUUGUGGGUUCUAAUAUGAGGUGUGGAUGGGGACGUACUAGGAGAUACUAGUGGGAGAGUGCCUGGAUUAUCUUGAGGGUUUGUCAUGGUGAAGUAUUUUUGAAGAAUUUUGGGAAUUUUGGACAGGAAGAGGAUGAUUAGAACUUUGGGAGAGAUCAAUGAAGGUUAUGGACUAAAAAGGAGGAUGUGGAGUUUAUUUAAAAAAGAUUGUGAUUAAAUGUAGUAAUGACAGCCUUUUUGCAGUAGUCAAUUAGGAAUCUAAUGACUUUGGAAUUCCGGUCUCUUAGUGGUUAAUAGACGACGCUAGUUUUUAGGCAAGAAUCUCGUUUCCUUAGAGUUCUAGGAGAAUGAAACUGGUUAAAUGCUCAACGGAUACAAUUUCUAGGAGUUUGGCUAAAAUAAGACUUUGAUCAUUGUUGGGAAGUUAAUCUUUCAAAUUGUUCAAAGUAUAGAAACGUACCUGAACUUUCUUAUGAGCAUAUACUGAUGAACCAGAAUUUUCAAGUAGAACUUCUCUUGUUUAUGCCUCAAAUGUCAGAAUAGAAAAAAAAACUUUGUAUGAGAUCAGUGAGUCACUAUAAACACGUGUCACAUGAGUAUACUGAUAAAAGUAUGAGACAGAGUAAGAAUUUGUCUAGACAUUUACACAAAGUAGAACUUCUAACCAGUUUUUUUUUUCAACUUUCCUUUUUUAUUUCAUUUUGCAUUCUUAACUGGACCUUUUAGGUGAUCUUAAUCAUCUCUAAUUCAAACCCGUUCCUCUCAAAGUUUCCCUACUCAGUUCUUUAGUGAAGAUGUCAGCUAUUUGUUUAUCAGUAGCACAUAAUUCUAUUGAAAUCAAUCCUUUCUCGUAGUUAUCUCUUAAGAAGUGAUGUCUAACAUCUAUGUGCUUUGUCCUUUUAUGAUGAACAUGGUCUUUGUCACACUUAUAGCACUUACCUUAUCAUAGAAUAUUGGUAUACAUCCCACUUCAAUUCCAAAAUCUACCAUAUGUUGUUUGAUCCAUAGCAAUUGAGCACAACAAGAAGCAACAACAACAUAUUUAGCUUCAGCAGUAGAUAGGGCUACAGAAUUUUGCUUUUUAGUAGCCCAUGACACAAGACAUGAACCAAGGAAGUGUGCCAUACCCGAGAUGCUCUUCCUAUCCACUAGGAAACCUGCAUAAUCAGCAUCAGCAUACCCUACUAAAUUGAAAUUACUACCUUUGGGAUACCAAAGACACAAAUCAGUGGUGCCUUUCAGAUAUCUCAAUAUCCUCUUGACAUCAGUCAAGUGUGACUCUUUUGGAUUCGACUGAAAACGAGCACAAAUCCCUACACUGAAAACAAUGUCAGGUGUGCUUGCAGUAAGAUACAAGAGUGAACCAAUCAUACCCCUAUGCAACUUCUGAUCAACUGAUGAACCAGGUUCAUCAACAUCUAAUUUGGUAGCAGUUGCAAUAUAUGUAUCUAUUUCUUUAGAGUCCUUCAUUUUGAACUAUUUGAUUAGAUCUUUUGUAUACUUCUACUGAUGGAUGAUGGUUCCAUUUGGACUUUGUUUGAUCUGCAAGCCUAAGAAGAAGUUAAGUUAACCUAUCAUGCUCAUUCAAACUUACUUCUCAUUAGUUUUGCAAAGUCCUUACUCAACCUAUCAGUAGUGGCCCCAAAAUUUAAUAUCAUUAAUAUAUAUUUGCACAACAAGGAGGUCUUUUCCUUUUUCAUUUAAGAACUAGGUACUGUCAAUUUUACCUCUUUUAUAACCAUGCUCCAGUAGGAAUUUUGAUAGUCGUUCAUACCAAGCUCUUGGGGCUUGCUUGAGACAUUAAAGAGCUUUGUCUAGCUUGUACACAUGCUCAGGACAUUCCUUGCUUUAAAAUCCUAGAGGUUGUUUCACAAACACUUCUUUGUUUAGGUAGCCAUUCAGGAAGGCACUUUUGACAUCCAUCUGGUGGAGAGUGAAUUCCAUGUGUGCUGCAAAGUCUAUGAGGAGUCUCAUUGCGUCUAGUCUUGCAACUGGAGCAAAGUUCUCAUCAUAGUCAAUACCUUCCUCUUAGUUGUAUCCUUGAACCACCAGCCUUGCCUUGUUUCUUGUAAUUGUUCCAUCUUCAUCAAGUUUGUUCCUAAAGACCCAUUUUGUGCCAAUAACUUAUCUGUCCUUGAGUCUUGGAACUAGAUGUCAGACUCGACUUGUUACAAAUUGGUUGACUUCAUCCUACAUAGCAUUGACCCAAUCUGCAUCAUGCAAAGUCUCAACAAUAUUUUUAGGCUCAUAAAGAGAUAGAAAAACAUCAAAUGCACACAGAUUCUUUAGUUGCGAUCUAGUUUUAACUCCAAAUGUUGGAUCAGUAAUAAUGUUCUCAAUAGGAUGAGAACUUUGAUACUUGUGGGAUUUUUCCACCAACUGAUUUCUGCUAGAUGAUUCUCCUUUGUUCUGUUGCUGAGGAACAUGUUCAUGAACAGUUCUUGUAGAGAUUUUAUUUCAAUUUCUCCCUGAUUAGUUCCCCCUGUCAGGUUGCCUUGAGUAAAAGAACAUGUUCCAUCACCUGUCCUUUCUUUUGAUGCCAGUUUGACUUGUGUUGUAGAUUCAGUCAUCUCUUUUACCAGUCCAAUUGCUUCAUCUUCAUGUUCCUAUCUCUCAAAAACAAUGUUAGUUUCAUCAAAUACAACAUGCACACUUUCUUCUACAUACAAAUUUCUUUUAUUAAAAACUUUAUAUGCUUUGCUAUGUGAAUAACAUCCCAUGAAUACUCCCUCAUCACUUGUGAGGUCAAAAUUACCUAGGGAGUCUUUUCCAUUAUCGUGCACAUAGCACUUGCAACCAAAUGCCUUAAGAUGGGAUAUGUUUGGUAUUCUCCCUUUAAGUAACUCAUAGGGAGUCUUCUCAACAAGAGGUCUGGUCAUGCAUCUAUUGAUUAUGUAGCAUGCAGUGUUUACAACCUCUCCCAGAAGCUGUGAGGUAAUUUACUAGAGAGAAGCAUGGUCCUUGCCAUAUCCUCAAGGGUCCUGUUCUUUUUUUCAACUACUCCAUUUUGCUGAGGAGUUCUAGGGGCAGAGAAGUUAUGAUGUACACCAUUUUCAUCACAAUAUUCAGUAAAUUUUCCAUGCAAAACAAUCUUGUCAGUGGUAAGGUUAAUCACAAAUCAUUUGGUAGAGGUGAAAACUAUAUUUCAAGACAUCUAUCAAGUAGACAUUCUCAAUGGCAUGAUAGUCUGUAUUACCUGCCUUUCCAACCCCAAUGAUCUCACCUUUCUUUCCAUUACCAAAGGAGACAUUACCUCCUUUUAGGUCUUCAAGUGAAAGGAACUGGUCCUUGUCCCUUGUCAUAUAUUUUGAGCAACCACUAUUCUUAUUCCAUAUUUGGUUCCUCCCUUUCAUUUGGAUCUGCAAAAAAGAAAUCAGGGGGUAGUAUUAGAAAUCCAAACUAGUUUGGGCCCCUUUCUAUGGGCAAAAAGAUGAAUCAGAUUUUCUCUUGCCCAACCAGGCAACUUGUUUUUCUUGAACAAAAGCUUUAUUCUUUUAACUGGCCUUCUCUUUUGCAUUGCAUUCAUUCUUGUGGCCAGUCCUGCCACAAUGUGUGCAGAUUUUAUUUUCAGGAAGCGUGAGACACUUGUUUUUUGGAUCUCAUUUUGAAGCUUGCCUCCCAUAACCGCUAUUGUGGUGCUUUUGUAAUCAAGAAAGUACAUCAGAAGCCUUGUUCCAGUUAGUUCUAUCAAGUUCAUGUUUCACUUUUCCUAGAUCUUCAUUUAGGACUUUGAUCAAUUCAUCAUUUUUAUAUAGCUCACUUUUCAAUUUUCCUAAAUUUUCUUCUAGAGUGAGAUAUGAGUGAUCAGCCUUCAUUUUUCCUAUUCCCAGUUUCAGUUUUACAUUCUUAGAUCUAAGAUCUAAGACAGUGUUAUUGAGUUCAAGAAUCUGGUUAUUCAACACAAUAUUUUUGUUAUCACUCUCAUCAUCCCUAGACUCUAGACUCUUGCAUUUUGCGUUUAACAUCAAACAUUCCCUAGAUAGAACUUCCUUUUCAUUGUUAACUAUCUCAGACUCAUCAAUGAAGUCUAAUAAUAGCUCAACCAACCUUUUUAAAGACAAAAAUUUAAUUUUGUCUUUGAGAUGCAGAAUACUUACCUUUUGCUCAUCAUCUGAUUAUCCAAUGGCCAUAAGAGCUUUCUCUUCCUCAGCUUCAUCUUCCGAGUCUUCAUCAGAGGUUUCACCCCAAGCAACAACCAUAUCCUUGGUUGAACCUUUCUUUCUUUUUGGUUGAACAUGUUCCUUCUUCCUGUUUCUUCGCUUAGACCUUUCUUUCUUCCACUCAAUUUCCCAUUGAGGGAAGUUCUAGAUCAUGUGAUCAGUCUUACCACACUUAUAACUGUCACACCUCCUUUUUACACACCCCAAAAGGGCAUAAGGGAUUUUUUCCACUUUAAGUGACAUUAUUCGAAAUGAGAUUAUUUAUUUUAUUCAGAAUCGCCACUUGGGAUAAUUAUGGUGUCCCAAGUCACCGAUUUAAAUUAAAUCCCAAAUCGAGGAAGUAUUAUUUUUUUUAAGAGUCUGCGAACCAAAAAUUCUAAGUAAGGAAUUCUAUUAACCCGGAAGAAUGUGUUAGGCAUCGUGGUUCUAGCAUGGUCGCUUAGAAAUUUAUAUUUGACUUAAUCAUCUAACUACUAAUUUUUAAGAUAUAUGUGCAGUUAUUUUUAUCGCUUUUCAAAAUUUAAUUAUUCGUAAUUAAAGAAUCAAGUUACAGGUACGUAUAUAUUUUUUUUUUAUAGUUUCAGUGUGUUGCAUUAAAGCUUCCAUGGAUGUUCCAAACACAAGGACAUGAUUGCUCUAGAUCAAUACAAAUCCAUAGAGCUUGGAUAUUAUUGAACACAAUUUCCCAGAUAUUCCGCCAAACUUUCUUAACAGUUUUUACAUUCUCAAUUUUCUAAGCCAAAAUGGUCCAAAAAGUGGGAUCAUAAAGAGGAAGUCUACACAAUAUAAAUUUGAACCAAGGAUACGAUAUAAUAGGAGUAUAUCAAAAAAAUUUACCAAUCAGGUGCAGUAUAAAUACUCUUUCAAAUAAAAUAAAAAGAAGCUACAAACAUUUACUUCAUAACAUAUAACAAUGAGCUAAUGGAGAUCUUACUUCAAGAUAUUCAAGUUCAACAUAAUCUUGCCAACAGCUAUGGGAAUCAUCCCCUUUUAGAGUAGAACAAUAAUAUAAAUUCUGUAGAAUUAAACUUGAGGAGGGGAAAGCCAAAUCAAAGCAUAAUUGCCUUCCUGCCCAUUUGGAUAAACCACGACCCAAAUCAUAGCCAAAAGAAAUGACUACUUUCAAAAUAGUUCAUGGAUUUCCAGCCAACAAACUUAAUAUUCAUAUUGACCACUAAAUGCUAAAAUUAAAUGAGUACUACACAAUUAAAAAUUUCCACUAGAAUUAAAGAUUCAAACAGCCCGUUUCAAUUUCCGAUUUGUCUAGCACACAUUUCUCAUUCCAUUUACAAUUUGGAAUUCUCAGAACUCUUAUACCAUAAGCAAAAGUAAUAGUCAGAUUCAAUUCAAGCAGUAAAAGAAAUAUCACAACAAAGAUAUUCAAUCAAAUACAUUUCAUCACGAUCUUCAGUAUAUCAACAAAACAAACAAUAAGACAAGAAAAAUCGAGGCAGUAGAUGUUUACCUCACAUUCAUAACAGGAAAGGGAAAAAGCCCAAAUAAAGGUCCAAGGCUUUAAGAUGAAGCUCAACAACCUAAAUGGAGAAAAACAUCAUCAGCUUUAGAUUUCACAGCUCUUUUAGAAAAUCGAAGAAAAAGAAUUAACUUUCAGUUUUCAAUUCCAAAUUCCACUUGCUCCCGAUUUUGCUUUUUGUUGUUGUCAUUUUCUGUUCUUUCUCAUGUGACAUUUUCUACAUUUGUGUGCAUUUUUUGGCGUGAGUGUGUGUUCCAUGAGUGAAUUCCAGUUGAGAGGGAGUGAAAUUUGAUGGUUUUUUCAGAGGACUCAGCGAUGGAGUGCUUUCUUCGGUUAGGGGUCUCCUCAAAAUGGGGAAAGGUUCUGAUGGAUUUUUUUACGUGUAUUUGUGUGUGGGUCUCUCUCUAGGUAUUAAGGGGUAUGGGCCUAAUGUUUUGAGUUUGG